Long non-coding RNA from Lynx canadensis (Canada lynx), 792 nucleotides. RefSeq lists it as uncharacterized. Lineage: Eukaryota; Metazoa; Chordata; Mammalia; Carnivora; Felidae. The record is from RefSeq and is a predicted model, not a curated record. The transcript is spliced from 3 exons.
UCUUAAAGUUUAUAAGCUUUACCAAUCCCCUAUCAUUACUAGCUAUUAAUACUAAAUCAUAACUCUGUUCGCAGCUAUCUAUAGAUACACUGACCUGAUCUCUAAUUCGUCCCCUAUCGAACAACAUCCUAUAUGCCCCAAAUUAACCCUAUGUCCCAGUUAAUGUAGCUUAAAUAUAUAAAGCAAGGCACUGAAAAUGCCUAGAUGAGUCGCCAGACUCCAUAAACACAAAGGUUUGGUCCUGGCCUUUCCAUUAGUUAUUAAUAAGAUUACACAUGCAAGCCUCUGCAUCCCGGUGAAAAUGCCCUCUAAGUCACCCAGUGACCUAAAGGAGCUGGUAUCAAGCACACAACCAUAGUAGCUCAUGACACCUUGCUCAGCCACACCCCACGGGAUACAGCAGUGAAAAAUUAAGCUAUGAAUGAAAGUUCGACUAAGCUAUAUUAAACAAGGGUUGGUAAAUUUCGUGCCAGCCACCGCGGUCAUACGAUUAACCCAAACUAAUAGACCCACGGCGUAAAGCGUGUUACAGAGAAAAAAUACUAAAGUAAAACCUUAACUAGGCCGUAAAAAGCUACAGUUAACAUAAAAAUACAGCACGAAAGUAACUUUAAUAUCUCCGACUACACGAUAGGUAAGACCCAAACUGGGAUUAGAUACCCCACUAUGCUUAGCCCUAAACUUAGAUAGUUAGCUUAAACAAAACUAUCCGCCAGAGAACUACUAGCAACAGCUUAAAACUCAAAGGACUUGGCGGUGCUUUACAUCCCUCUAGAGGAGGCUGUUCUAUAA